RNAcentral lists this long non-coding RNA (325 nucleotides) under Malus domestica (apple). RNAcentral describes it as "long non-coding RNA (MDOM_LNC014738)". Lineage: Eukaryota; Viridiplantae; Streptophyta; Magnoliopsida; Rosales; Rosaceae. The record is from RNAcentral.
AGCAACCCGGUGCUUAUCAAGGCUGACAUCCAUGAAUGGAGUGAUGGAGAGGAGCUCGGGAAGACAUUACUUCACCUCAUCCACAGAAUUUCUUCUGAAGAAAAUCAAAAUCAAAUGUAGUGACCCCAUAUGCCUGAUGAAGCCUUCAAACUCGUAAUAGAACUUCCUACAACGGGUAUGCCAUUGUGUCAGCGUCCCAAGCCAUUCAUACACUAUCAUAUAUGCAAGCUAUAAAUUAAAAAUUGGCACUGCAUGAUUAGUUUGAGAUAUCGCCAAAUUUAAACCAAAACUAUUGUAUCACCAGCUGUAGAAGGCACAAAAUCCC